GAGUUUGAUUCUGGCUCAGGAUGAACGCUGGCGGCGUGCGUAACACAUGCAAGUUGGACGACGGUGCUAUGAAGUGGUAACACGGAAUGGUAUACGGAGUAGCGGACGGGUGAGUAAAGCAUGAGGAGCUGUCCUGUUGAGGGGGAUAACGUUCGGAAACGGACCCUAAUACCCCAUAGGCCGAGAGGUUAAAGGCAGAGAUGCGCGACAGGAGGUACUCGUGUCCUAUCAGCUAGUUGGUGAGGUAACGGCUCACCAAGGCGACGACGGGUAGCCGGCCUGAGAGGGUGACCGGCCACACUGGAACUGAGACACGGUCCAGACUCCUACGGGAGGCAGCAGUGGGGAAUAUUGGGCAAUGGGAGGAAUCCUGACCCAGCGACGCCGCGUGAACGAAGACGGCCUUCGGGUUGUAAAGUUCUUUUAUGUGGGAAGAAGGAAGUGA
This 445-nucleotide ribosomal RNA is filed under the name Synergistales bacterium canine oral taxon 244. RNAcentral's name for it is "bacterial SSU rRNA". It matches the Rfam family "Bacterial small subunit ribosomal RNA", at positions 9 to 457 of the family's 1533-position model. The record is from RNAcentral. Lineage: Bacteria; Thermotogati; Synergistota; Synergistia; Synergistales.